UACGGAGGGUGCAAGCGUUGUUCGGAAUCACUGGGCGUAAAGGGCGUGUAGGCGGUCCGCUAAGUCUGAUGUGAAAGCCCGGGGCUCACCCCCGGAAGGGCAUUGGAAACUGGCGGACUCGAGUCUCGGAGAGGAAGGUGGAAUUCCUGGUGUAGCGGUGAAAUGCGUAGAUAUCAGGAGGAAUACCGGUGGUGAAGGCGGCCUUCUGGACGAUGACUGACGCUGAGACGCGAAAGCGUGGGGAGCAAACAGG
This 253-nucleotide ribosomal RNA is filed under the name uncultured bacterium. RNAcentral's name for it is "partial 16S ribosomal RNA". It matches the Rfam family "Bacterial small subunit ribosomal RNA", at positions 524 to 776 of the family's 1533-position model. The record is from RNAcentral.